RNAcentral lists this unclassified non-coding RNA (350 nucleotides) under plant metagenome. RNAcentral describes it as "partial contains 5.8S ribosomal RNA, internal transcribed spacer 2, and large subunit ribosomal RNA". The stretch from base 1 to 105 matches the Rfam family "5.8S ribosomal RNA", at positions 50 to 154 of the family's 154-position model. The record is from RNAcentral.
GAAAUGCGAUAAGUAAUGUGAAUUGAAGAAUUCAGUGAAUCAUCGAAUCUUUGAACGCACCUUGCGCUCCUUGGUAUUCCGAGGAGCAUGCCUGUUUGAGUGUCAUGGAAUUCUCAACUCUAUUUGCUUUUGUGAAUAGAGCUUGGAUUUGGAGGUUUAUUGCUGGUACUUGUGAUCGGCUCCUCUUGAAUGCAUUAGCUCGAACCUUUGCGGAUCAGCUAUCGGUGUGAUAAUUGUCUACGCCGUUGCAGUGAAGCAUAUCAAUGGGCUCGGCUUCCAAUCGUCCUUUACUGGACAAUGACUUUGACCUUUGACCUCAAAUCAGGUAGGAUUACCCGCUGAACUUAAGC